This 400-nucleotide ribosomal RNA is filed under the name uncultured bacterium. Its description in RNAcentral is "bacterial SSU rRNA". It matches the Rfam family "Bacterial small subunit ribosomal RNA", at positions 355 to 752 of the family's 1533-position model. The record is from RNAcentral.
UGAGGAAUAUUGGUCAAUGGACGGAAGUCUGAACCAGCCAAGUAGCGUGCAGGAAGACGGCCCUAUGGGUUGUAAACUGCUUUUAUACGGGGAUAAAGUGAGCCACGUGUGGCUUAUUGCAGGUACCGUAUGAAUAAGGACCGGCUAAUUCCGUGCCAGCAGCCGCGGUAAUACGGAAGGUCCGGGCGUUAUCCGGAUUUAUUGGGUUUAAAGGGAGCGUAGGCCGUUUGUUAAGCGUGUUGUGAAAUGUCGGGGCUCAACCUGGGCAUUGCAGCGCGAACUGGCAGACUUGAGUGCGCGGGAAGUAGGCGGAAUUCGUCGUGUAGCGGUGAAAUGCUUAGAUAUGACGAAGAACUCCGAUUGCGAAGGCAGCCUGCUGUAGCGUAACUGACGCUGAAGC